CAUGGAAUACAUAUCAUAAAUUCAUAAUGUGAUACAAAUAACUAGUAUUUAAUGCUAACACUGUAUGUUCUUCUUGAGCUAGAACAGAAUUUGGAUUCCCUAUUUUUCCCCAUACAACCAUAUUUAAAUUUAAAAUCACAACAGAUAAAUGAAUGUCCCAAUUCAAAUUUAAAAUCAGACCACAAGUAUAGGGAAUUGGUCGGAUACUCUAUAGCAUAAGUCAUCAACCUAAGAAAAAUGAAAUAAAGUUCUGCUGAACCACAACAUAGAAGACAAAAUUCAGGGCACCGUUAGAUUUAACUUGCUAUGCUCUUGAGCAAGUUGAGCACAAUACAAUAUAACAUGUACAAAUACAGACUUCUAAUUCAUCAAGAACCUGGAUGUGACAAAUCUUCCAUCCUGCAAGAAAUGUAUGACUCGAGUGAAAUAAUGAAUAGCCACAAAGGGGGCAAAACCAUAUGCCUUUUUCUUCCACCAAUUAGAAGGUCAAAGAGUGUUCACAGUCAUCCCAAUUAGACAGUUUACACUGACAACAUUUUAUACACAACCGCAAUAAUAUACUGAGAAUUCCAUAUUUUGACUUAAUUUUACACCUUUCAUCCACACAUGUUAAAACAACCUCAUUUUGAACUGAACUUGGAGCUCACUGAGUCGUAGCUUGGGACAUAUAUGACUGCUGACAAUGAAUUGAAAAAAUUAACAUUAGAGGAGAUACAAAAACCGUUAAGGAGAAUUCUUUUGAAAAAACACCAUCUCUAUAUGAUUCCAUUGUAAGAGGGGAGGAUAUGAACUGCAAUUCAACAAAAUCACAUUAUCACGAGUAAUAGUAAUUUAUGAAGAAGAUUGGAAAUUGAGAUAGAAAGGGUUGGAAAUUGCCAUGACAGGUUGUGGAGUCCCAGAUUGAGGAGUUUGAGUGUGGCAUGCAUAUCCAAAACAGUAUGCAUCUUUCUCUUUCAUUCAUGUUCAAUUUCAUACCUCUCUUGCGAGUGCAAACGAAUCAACAUAAGCCUGCAUAAUUUGAAACACAAUUAAAAUGACCAAAUGACACUUGUCAAACUGUAAAAAAAGCAGACCUGAAUAGUAAGGACAAGGGUUGUUCAUAGCCAUUGAUUCAGAGUCAACGCUAAUUAAUGUUUCAGUGGAUCCUUGCACGGGCUCAGGCACUAAAGAUGUUAAGGAUUUAACACUAUGAAUUGAGGAUUUAAAUUGUAAUUGCAUUUCGGGUAAUUUUUAAAAUUAGGGUCCAUCUGAAUUCAAAAUUAUAAGCAACUAGGGUCAAACACAGCAUCAAGAUUCAUCCUCACAAUCAUUCAUCUUGCAUGCAAUACCUCAUCCCCACAAUACAAAACAACCACUAAAAUUCAGAUUCAUCAAGAUCAAAUGCAUUUGAAUGAGAUCAUAAUAGCAUAUCAUCCAUUUACAAAUUAUGAAUAAAGAAUUCAUACCACAAGUAUAUAAUUUCGAUCCAACCAUCUAUCCAUUGUGAAUAAAGAAUUCAUGUUACAAUAUCAUUUAGGAGUUCAAGAAAGUCAUAAAUAAAUCACAUCAUUAUCAGCUGAAGUUCAAGAAACACACAUCAUUAUCAGUUGAGGUUCAUGAAAAUUACAUAGCUUAAGUUCAAGAAAAUUACAUAGCUUAAGUUCAAGAAAAUCACAUGAUUAUCAGUUCAGGUUCAAGAAAACCACAUCAUUAUCAGCUGAAGUUCAAGAAAAUGACAUCAUUAUCCACUGCAGUUCAAGAAAAUCACAUAAUUAUGAGUUGAAGUUCAAGAAAAUCACAUUAUUAUGAGUUGAAGUUCAAGAAAAUGGCAAUAUUAUGAGGUGAAAUUCAAGAAAAUCACAUCACUGAGAUACUAAGAAAAUGGCAACCUCAUCCUAUGCUCAUCCUCAUCCUCGUCCUCAUCCUAUCAAGAAAAUCACAUCACUGAGAUACUAAGAAAAUGGCAAUAUUAUGAGGUGAAAUUCAAGAAAAUCACAUCACUGAUAUAACUAUCCACUGAAGUUCAAGAAAAUCACAUAAUUAUCCGUUGAAGUUCGAGAAAAUUACAUUAUUAUGAGUUGAAGUUCAAGAAUAUCAUGAGUGAUAGUAAUUUAUGAAGAAGGUUGGAAAUUGAUUCUGUCACCCUCUCUCGCAUGCAUAUCCAACACGAAACAGUAUGCAUCAUUCUCUUUUAUUCAUGUUCAAUUUCAUACCUCUCUUGCGUAGAGUGGUUAUUAUUAUGAUCUCAAGCUCCUGUGAUUCCACAUAUACAUCUCUUUCUGUGUCGCUUUCUCUCGCGUUCUCUCUCUCGCUCUCACUCUCUCCGCGUUCUCUCUCUCGCUCUCACUCUCUCCGCGUUCUCUCUUUCUCGCACUCACUCUCACUCUCUCACACACACGUUCUCUCUCUCACACACACACACACACACGUUCUCUCUCUCUCACACACACACACACACACGUUCUCUCUCACACACAAUUAUGCAAAAACAUCUAAGGAACUUGUCUUUAUAUAGCAGAUUAAGCACCGACACGGUAA
Molecule: long non-coding RNA, 2517 nt
Filed under: Lupinus angustifolius (narrow-leaved blue lupine)
Lineage: Eukaryota; Viridiplantae; Streptophyta; Magnoliopsida; Fabales; Fabaceae
Description: long non-coding RNA (LANG_LNC000927)
Source: RNAcentral